UACGUAGGCAGCGAGCGUUGUUCGGAGUUACUGGGCGUAAAGGGUGUGUAGGCGGUUUUCUAAGUUUGGUGUGAAAUCUCCCGGCUCAACCGGGAGGGUGCGCCGAAAACUGGGAGACUAGAGUGCGGGAUGGGAGAGUAGAAUUCCUGGUGUAGCGGUGAAAUGCGUAGAGAUCGGCAGGAACACCCAGGGGGAAACCAGUCGACUGGGCAUCUACUGACGCUGAGGUGCGAGAGCGUGGGGAGCGAACCGG
This 253-nucleotide ribosomal RNA is filed under the name uncultured bacterium. RNAcentral's name for it is "partial 16S ribosomal RNA". It matches the Rfam family "Bacterial small subunit ribosomal RNA", at positions 524 to 776 of the family's 1533-position model. The record is from RNAcentral.